Molecule: ribosomal RNA, 560 nt
Filed under: Debaryomyces sp.
Lineage: Eukaryota; Fungi; Ascomycota; Pichiomycetes; Serinales; Debaryomycetaceae
Description: partial large subunit ribosomal RNA
Rfam family: Eukaryotic large subunit ribosomal RNA
Source: RNAcentral
UGCAUAUCAAUAAGCGGAGGAAAAGAAACCAACAGGGAUUGCCUUAGUAACGGCGAGUGAAGCGGCAAAAGCUCAAAUUUGAAAUCUGGCACCUUCGGUGUCCGAGUUGUAAUUUGAAGAAGGUAACUUUGGAGUUGGCUCUUGUCUAUGUUCCUUGGAACAGGACGUCACAGAGGGUGAGAAUCCCGUGCGAUGAGAUGCCCAAUUCUAUGUAAAGUGCUUUCGAAGAGUCGAGUUGUUUGGGAAUGCAGCUCUAAGUGGGUGGUAAAUUCCAUCUAAAGCUAAAUAUUGGCGAGAGACCGAUAGCGAACAAGUACAGUGAUGGAAAGAUGAAAAGAACUUUGAAAAGAGAGUGAAAAAGUACGUGAAAUUGUUGAAAGGGAAGGGCUUGAGAUCAGACUUGGUAUUUUGCGAUCCUUUCCUUCUUGGUUGGGUUCCUCGCAGCUUACUGGGCCAGCAUCGGUUUGGAUGGUAGGAUAAUGACUAAGGAAUGUGGCUCUACUUCGGUGGAGUGUUAUAGCCUUGGUUGAUACUGCCUGUCUAGACCGAGGACUGCGUCU